UACGAAGGGUGCGAGCGUUGUUCGGAAUUAUUGGGCGUAAAGGGCGCGUAGGCGGGUUCGUAAGUCGAUUGUGAAAGCCCUGGGCUUAACCUGGGAUGUGCAGUCGAAACUGCGAAUCUUGAAUGCCCGAGAGGAUGGCGGAAUUCCCGGUGUAGUAGUGAAAUACGUAGAUAUCGGGAAGAACACCUGAGGCGAAGGAGGCUAUCGGGCGGUGCAUUGACGAUGAGGCGCGAAAGCGUGGGGAGCAAACAGG
RNAcentral lists this ribosomal RNA (253 nucleotides) under uncultured bacterium. Its description in RNAcentral is "partial 16S ribosomal RNA". It matches the Rfam family "Bacterial small subunit ribosomal RNA", at positions 524 to 776 of the family's 1533-position model. The record is from RNAcentral.